Long non-coding RNA from Cygnus olor (mute swan), 411 nucleotides. RefSeq lists it as uncharacterized. The transcript is spliced from 3 exons. Lineage: Eukaryota; Metazoa; Chordata; Aves; Anseriformes; Anatidae. The record is from RefSeq and is a predicted model, not a curated record.
AAGAAAAAAUAUUCUUUGAGAUACCUGGAUUCCCAGUGCAAGGAAAUGUUUGAGGAAUCCUGUUAUUUAGCAAGAAGAAAAACUUGCAGUUACCACGUCAUAACAUAUGAUGAAGACCCAUAGGCAGGAGAAAGUAAUCAUCUUCAAUACUUCUGCCCUGAUGUAGAAGCCACUGGAGUCACAAGGAGCUUCUCACUGGUUUUGUUUAUGGAAGGGGACUGAGAGAAAAUCUGGAGCCGAAGCCACGAGAGAACAGGUGACAGAAGCUCUGCAAGACCUUCCUUACACACAUGGAACAAGGGUGGCUGUGUAGAUCACAUGGCAAAACAACACCAUCAGCCUGCACCCCACCCUGUGGGAGUCAGGAAUUUGGUACAGGCACCCUGCCCUCAUUCUAUGCUUGGACUGAUA